This 99-nucleotide signal recognition particle RNA is filed under the name Oscillospiraceae bacterium. RNAcentral describes it as "signal recognition particle sRNA small type". It matches the Rfam family "Bacterial small signal recognition particle RNA". From Rfam's summary of the family: The signal recognition particle (SRP) is a universally conserved ribonucleoprotein involved in the co-translational targeting of proteins to membranes. Archaeal SRP consists of a 7S RNA and homologues of the eukaryotic SRP19 and SRP54 proteins. The record is from RNAcentral. Lineage: Bacteria; Bacillati; Bacillota; Clostridia; Eubacteriales; Oscillospiraceae.
GUGUGGGUUCUGUGCGACGGUGCGUUGCGAACCAUGUCAGGCGGGGAACCGAGCAGCAUUAAGCAAGCCGCACGGUGCGCCACAGUCCGCCUGCACGCC